RNAcentral lists this ribosomal RNA (756 nucleotides) under uncultured bacterium. RNAcentral describes it as "bacterial SSU rRNA". It matches the Rfam family "Bacterial small subunit ribosomal RNA", at positions 8 to 796 of the family's 1533-position model. The record is from RNAcentral.
AGAGUUUGAUCCUGGCUCAGAAUCAACGCUGGCGGCGUGCCUAACACAUGCAAGUCGAACGAGAAAGGGUAGCAAUACCUGAGUAAAGUGGCGCACGGGUGAGUAACACGUGACUAACCUACCCUGGAGUGGGGGAUAACUGAGGGAAACCUUAGCUAAUACCGCAUAAUACCCACGGGUCAAAGGAGCAAUUCGCUUCAGGAGGGGGUCGCGGCCGAUUAGUUAGUUGGCGGGGUAAUGGCCCACCAAGACGAUGAUCGGUAUCCGGCCUGAGAGGGCGCACGGACACACUGGAACUGAAACACGGUCCAGACUCCUACGGGAGGCAGCAGUGGGGAAUUUUGCGCAAUGGGGGAAACCCUGACGCAGCAACGCCGCGUGGAGGAUGAAGUACUUCGGUACGUAAACUCCUUUCGAUCGGGACGAUAAUGACGGUACCGAGAGAAGAAGCCCCGGCUAACUUCGUGCCAGCAGCCGCGGUAAUACGAGGGGGGCGAGCGUUGUUCGGAAUUAUUGGGCGUAAAGGGUGCGUAGGCGGUUUGGUAAGUCUGAUGUGAAAUCUAUGGGCUCAACUCAUAGUCUGCAUCGGAAACUGCCGGGCUUGAGUAUGGGAGAGGUGAGUGGAAUUUCCGGUGUAGCGGUGAAAUGCGUAGAUAUCGGAAGGAACACCUGUGGCGAAAGCGGCUCACUGGACCACAACUGACGCUGAUGCACGAAAGCUAGGGGAGCAAACAGGAUUAGAUACCCUAGUAGUCC